This 440-nucleotide ribosomal RNA is filed under the name uncultured bacterium. RNAcentral describes it as "partial 16S ribosomal RNA". It matches the Rfam family "Bacterial small subunit ribosomal RNA", at positions 338 to 795 of the family's 1533-position model. The record is from RNAcentral.
CCUACGGGAGGCAGCAGUAGGGAAUUUUGCGCAAUGGGCGAAAGCCUGAAGCAGCAAAACCGCGUGAAUGUUUAGCCCUCUGCGGUGUAUAGUUCUGUCAAUAGGGACGAAUUUUGACUGUACCUAUCAAGGUAGGACCGGCUAACUCCGUGCCAGCAGCGGCGGUCAUCCGGGAGGCGCAAGCGUUGUCCGGAAUCAUUGGGCGUAAAUCGUUGCUAGGUGGGUAGGUAAGUCUGAUGUUAAAGCUCCGGGGUCAACUCCGGUUCGGCAUUGGAUACUAUCUAGCUUGAAUGUGGUAGAGGUAGAGGGAAUGCCUGGUGUAGCGGUGAAAUGCGUAGAUAUCAGGAAGAACAUCGAUGGCGAAAGCGCUUUACUGGAGCAUUAUUGACGCUGAGGAACGAAAGCGAGGGGAGCGAAUGGGAUUAGAUACCCUAGUAGUC